Molecule: long non-coding RNA, 1849 nt
Organism: Apis cerana (Asiatic honeybee)
Lineage: Eukaryota; Metazoa; Arthropoda; Insecta; Hymenoptera; Apidae
Source: RefSeq, a predicted model, not a curated record
UUUUAUUUUAUUAUUGUUGAUGUGUUAAAUAAUUCAUAAUUCUAUUAUGAAUUAAAUAAUUUAUAAUAGUUAAUGUUUUAAAAAACAAAAGUGGAAUAGAUUAAACAAAUCAUAUAUUUAUUUCGGAUAUAUUAAAUUAUUUUUUUAAUUUCAAAUUGAUUGAAUUCAUUUUUCGCUUUCGUUUAAUUUAUAGCUUCAAAAGAUGACAACUUUUAUGAACAAAUACUCGAUAUCCUACCCUUUUCCACUAAUACAGAUUUAUUUUCAGAAAAUUUUUAUGGUCGCGCGCAAUGCGAUCAGUAGAAUCAGUGUUUGUUUCGUAAUAAAGUAUUUUUAAUAUUUUUUAGAGCACAGCUGCUCUUAUACAAUUUAAUUGUAAUAAUUAUUCGCGAAAUUAGAGUCAGUGUUCGUUCGCCGAUUAUCACAUUUACGGACGCGUCAGUAGUUUAUUAUUUUUUUUUUUUUUUAUAAAUUUUCGUUUUCGGUACAGGGUAAAAUCAGUGCUUUCAAGAACAUACGGCGAUCAUCCAUCACGCGAAGAGGUACUGUCAUCGUUUGGAUUUUUAAAAAAAAAAUGUUGUGGUCGCGCGCAAUGCGAUCGGUAGAAUCAGUGUUUGUUUCGUAAUAAAGUAUUUUUAAUAUUUUUUAGAGCACAGCUGCUCUUAUACAAUUUAAUUGUAAUAAUUAUUCGCGAAAUUAGAGUCAGUGUUUGUUCGCCGAUUAUCACAUUUACGGACGCGUCAGUAGUUUAUUAUUUUUUUUUUUUUUAUAAAUUUUCGUUUUCGGUACAGGGUAAAAUCAAUGCUUUCAAGAACAAACGGCGAUCAUCCAUCACGCGAAGAGGUACUGUCAUCGUUUGGAUUUUUGAAAAAAAAAUGUUGUGGUCGCGCGCAAUGCGAUCGGUAGAAUCAGUGUUUGUUUCGUAAUAAAGUAUUUUUAAUAUUUUUUAGAGCACAGCUGCUCUUAUACAAUUUAAUUGUAAUAAUUAUUCGCGAAAUUAGAGUCAGUGUUUGUUCGCCGAUUAUCACAUUUACGGACGCGUCAGUAGUUUAUUAUUUUUUUUUUUUUUUUAUAAAUUUUCGUUUUCGGUACAGGGUAAAAUCAGUGCUUUCAAGAACAUACGGCGAUCAUCCAUCACGCGAAGAGUUUUCAUCCUCCAACUUGAUGACAACUUCGUAAUGGAUCAUGACAGCAUUGAUGGCACCGCAGAUUCUUCGCAUCUAAUGGUGAGUCGCAUGCAUUUUGGUUCCUCUGGUCAUUCAAUCAUGUCGUAGGAUGAAAGAUCCGAAUCGACACGGAUGACUGGUUGUAUACGUAGAUUUUUGCACGAGCACAAUGACCGCGGGUAUUUAUUAUACCCGUGAAUAGUAACAUUUCAUUUGUGUUUUAUUUAUUAGAUCAGGAUAGGUUUUCUUGCACAUCGCGUUUUUAACAAAACGAUAUUAAUAAUUAACGUUAUAUGAAUAAGUUUUAACGUAAUAUUAGAAAUUAUAUAAUAAUAAUGAUGAUGCAUAUAAUAAUUAUAAUGAUUAUAUUAUAAUAAUGGUUGUUUAUUAUCACGUGAUAAUAAACAAUAUUUAAUUUCUCCCUCUAUUUCAUCAUAAUGCAUCGAAUUAAUUAUUUGACAUUUUAUUUUGAAUUUAAAUUCGAAAUGUAAAAAUAUUUAGUUUUUCAUGUUUCUUCCGUACAAAAAAAUAUGAUAAAAUAUAGUGCAAGAAAACAUUUCGCGACAGGUAGAUUUUUGAAUCAAAGCCACAAGUUUUGAACAUCGUUUUAGUACUUUCGAAAAUCCGCUUUGAUGAAAAAAUCGCCUGAGGUUAUUUUCAUUAAUAUUUAGAGUCAAUGAUCU